GCACGUAAACAUAAACAAGUGUGAAACAUUAUAAAUAGCACUUAUGACUAAAAGCCAUAUUAUUCUAACAAAACACAGCCACGUGAAGGGAGCACGAUGCCGGACAACAGCGCUCACUCAACAGGGGUAUUCCAGUCCACUGCACCUGUCCCAUCGAACACAGACAAGUGCCGAGACAUGGUCACAGUGGGCCAGUAAACUCCCAGGAAAUAGACAGGCACUCCAGUCAGCAUAAUGACCAGCCCCACUCCACACACCAGCGGCUCCGAGUGCAAACUGAAGCCCAGCAGUAGAGCCCAGAAGAGCAGGUAACACACA
Long non-coding RNA from Carassius auratus (goldfish), 318 nucleotides. RefSeq lists it as uncharacterized. NCBI's taxonomy places the organism in Eukaryota, Metazoa, Chordata, Actinopteri, Cypriniformes, Cyprinidae. The record is from RefSeq and is a predicted model, not a curated record. The transcript is spliced from 3 exons.